Molecule: transfer RNA, 72 nt
Filed under: Albula glossodonta (roundjaw bonefish)
Lineage: Eukaryota; Metazoa; Chordata; Actinopteri; Albuliformes; Albulidae
Rfam family: tRNA
About the family: Transfer RNA (tRNA) molecules are approximately 80 nucleotides in length. Their secondary structure includes four short double-helical elements and three loops (D, anti-codon, and T loops).
Source: Rfam by way of RNAcentral
UCCUAUAUAGUCUUGCGGUUAGGAUUCCUGGUUUUCACCCAGGCGGCCCAGGUUGGAUUCCCGGUAUGGGAA